RNAcentral lists this ribosomal RNA (253 nucleotides) under uncultured bacterium. Its description in RNAcentral is "partial 16S ribosomal RNA". It matches the Rfam family "Bacterial small subunit ribosomal RNA", at positions 524 to 776 of the family's 1533-position model. The record is from RNAcentral.
UACGUAGGGAGCAAGCGUUAUCCGGAAUUAUUGGGUGUAAAGGGUGCGUAGACGGGAUAACAAGUUGGUUGUGAAACCCCUCGGCUCAACUGAGGAACUGCAACCAAAACUAUUAUUCUUGAGUGCAGGAGAGGAAAGUGGAAUUCCUAGUGUAGCGGUGAAAUGCGUAGAUAUUAGGAAGAACACCGGUGGCGAAGGCGACUUUCUGGACUGUAACUGACGUUGUGGCACGAAAGUGUGGGGAGCAAACAGG